CUUGUGAUGGACACAUUGUUGGGUGAAUAGGGAUGGCAGAGAGGAGGGGCCCUUGUUCCUGAUCCAAUCACCCACUGGCAAGGGAAGAAUUUUCUGGAAGGAAAGGAGAGGCCAGCUAGAUGAAUAUCCUGCAUCCACGGAUGACAGAACAGCUCUUCUAAUGAGGGCCUUUCAAAGUCCUGCAUGGAUAAACAGCACCUGAUCAGAUCUUGGCACUCUGGGCAGAGAAACCAAAAACCGCCGGUCAGUUGGAGAAGGCUCCUGUUGGCUUUGCCCCACUAUUGCCUGCCCAGGCCAUGAUGGAUGUGCUCAGAGCUGGGCCUAAACCUUCCCACCAAUUCCCUGUUUUGGAGGAGAGCAGGAGAGCAAAACAUGUGCCACCUCCUCAGCAGCUGCCAGAGCGGGAUGCUCCCGAGCCCGCUGCUGUCUCCCAGCACUGGUAUUCCCCCCGUGCCCAGAGAUGAGGAUUCACCGUGAGAGAGCCAUUGUGUCAGCGAGAGCUGAUGAUCCCAGCUGAUGUUCUGGCCCCUUCUGAAAGGCAUCUUCCCACAGACCAUCUGGUGCAGCACAAUGCCCAGGGACCAGAUGGUAGCUGGCUUGUCAUAGUACCAGCCAAAGUGAGUCCCUUCCGGGGGGCUGUAUGAUGGUGUUCCUAUGGAAUACAGAUGGAGUUCAUCAGGGGGAUGCUGCUGCUUCCAGAGCCUGGCCCCAGCAUCCCUGGGUGUGUGGGGGCUGCCCCAGUGGCACACAGGGUGACCCGCUGCCCUCUCGCCAGCACCUGGGACUUGUGUACAGACUUGGGGUUGGAAAAGAAGCCACUGCUGUUGGAAGAGGGCAGCAGAAGCCCUGGCAAGGCUUAACCAUGACAGAAUCACACUUAGUGCUAAGGGAAAACCAAGCCUUCAUCCUCCCUGCCUGCAUUGCCGCAAAAAACAUUAUGAACCCAGAACAAGCCAGGUGAGUGAAGCAGCCCAAGCCCUUUCUCACCUGCACACCAAACUGGCUGGGGCACAGGUUCUUGCCCCCCCUCUCUGCUACCCUCACCCACGGGUGUUUUUGUUGGGCUGGCUGCUCCAGCCCCAGUCCUGGGCAGAGUGGUGGGCCAAGGCUGACAGCAGGGCUGGAAGCUGGGUCCCAACCCAGGACUGCUCAAAAGAAACUCAGCUGAAAGCUCAUUGCCAUGAAGGGCAGCAAAAGGGAGAAUCCCCGCCACACCCAGCUUGAGCUGUGAGGUCUUGGGCUAUGGGAUGCCAGAACUUGGAGCACACCCCUGCAUUGGCUCACCUGCAAAGUGAAACAUUAAAUCUGGUUUUUGCUAAUCCCUUGCUGGAGAUUUUUUCAGUGCUCUCAAGCACUUGUUCAGAACUGUGCAAGGGAGCCCUGGCCCAGGCUCUGGCCCUGGGGGACAUCGGGAUUGUUAUGAGUAAAAAGUUAUCAGGUUUUUUUAAGGUUGCAGAGUUAAAAUAAGUUGAACCAGUUGCUGUUAAGUUACCUGCAUGUUGCAGCCACCUAUUGUUAAGAGUUCUUCUUCGAUUACCUGGCAAUGGUUAGUGAUUAGCCAUUGUCCCCCCUGCUGCUUGCCUGGGAGUUACACCAGACCCCUGCAAGUAGCAGGCAAAGGGUGUGACAUCAGAGCUGGUAUGCAGAUGAGAAUGCAUUUCACCCAGAUUUUGCAAUUUUCCAGGAAAAAAAACCCUAAAAACAAUGAGCCAACAUGGAAUUAAGCAACCUAAGUGAUGUCUAAAGGUGAGGAACUUAGUCCAAUAUCUGCUAAGAUCCUUUUUACUUCUCAACCUAACCUGAAAAGAUGUUAACUAGAGAGAGGACCCGGAAUGUUAGACUGAACAAGUGGAAUCUCCUAAUCUCCCGUGAGGAUGGAAUCCCCAGAUCUGCCUGCAGACCAGCGGACAAAGAUGCAUUACCCUCCUCCUCUGGGCCACUCCUGGAAGCACCGGCAGCAUGGGCGCAACCUGUCGAUUUCUCCCCACCUGAGGUGAUUCUUUUUAAUAAAGGCAUUAAAAAGGAGAAA
This is a long non-coding RNA of Passer domesticus (house sparrow), 2029 nucleotides long. RefSeq lists it as uncharacterized. The transcript has 2 exons. NCBI's taxonomy places the organism in Eukaryota, Metazoa, Chordata, Aves, Passeriformes, Passeridae. The record is from RefSeq and is a predicted model, not a curated record.